UACGUAGGGGGCAAGCGUUGUCCGGAAUUAUUGGGCGUAAAGCGCGCGCAGGCGGUUCAUUAAGUCUGGUGUUUAAGGCUGGGGCUCAACCCUGGUUCGCACUGGAAACUGGUGGACUUGAGUGCAGAAUAGGAAAGUGGAAUUCCACGUGUAGCGGUGAAAUGCGUAGAGAUGUGGAGGAACACCAGUGGCGAAGGCGACUUUCUGGGCUGUAACUGACGCUGAGGCGCGAAAGCGUGGGGAGCAAACAGG
RNAcentral lists this ribosomal RNA (252 nucleotides) under uncultured bacterium. RNAcentral's name for it is "partial 16S ribosomal RNA". It matches the Rfam family "Bacterial small subunit ribosomal RNA", at positions 524 to 776 of the family's 1533-position model. The record is from RNAcentral.